CGAGACAUGUAGGUGUCAAGCCAAGCAAAGGAAAAUUCAAGUACAAUCAAUAAGUUUCCAAAAAUUACAAUGUAAAUGUAAGAUUUGCUGAUCUCAGUUUUUGAAAAGUGAGACAAGACAUGCUGCAAUUCUAAAACCAAGCAGAGGUAAAAUUCAAGUACAAUGAAAUAGUUUUCAAAAAUCACAACGUGAGUUUUACAGAUCUCAGAUUUUGUUUAGUGAAACGAGACACGCAGGUCUCCGGUUAAGCAAGGGUAAAAUUAUUUUACAAUGGCAACCAAAAUAAAGGAUCUACUGGUAGUGUGUGCAUUUUUCAUAUGAAC
Pelobates cultripes (western spadefoot toad) is the source of this 323-nucleotide non-coding RNA. NCBI's taxonomy places the organism in Eukaryota, Metazoa, Chordata, Amphibia, Anura, Pelobatidae. The record is from the annotation of a GenBank genome assembly.